GAGUCUAGCAUGUGCGCGAGUCAUUGGGACACGCUAAGCCCAGAGGCGCAAUGAAAGUGAAGGUCCGCCUCGCGCGGACCGAGGGAGGAUGGGCCGUCCCGCGGGACGGCCCCGCACUCCCGGGGCGUCUCGUUCUCAUCGCGAGAAGAGGCGCACCCAGAGCGUACACGCUGGGACCCGAAAGAUGGUGAACUAUGCCUGGUCAGGACGAAGUCAGGGGAAACCCUGAUGGAGGUCCGUAGCGAUUCUGACGUGCAAAUCGAUCGUCGGAACUGGGUAUAGCGGCGAAAGACCAAUCGAACCAUCUAGUAGCUGGUUCCCUCCGAAGUUUCCCUCAGGAUAGCUGGCGCUCGCCGUGUGCGAGUCUCAUCCGGUAAAGCGAAUGAUUAGAGGCAUUGGGGUCGAAACGGCCUCAACCUAUUCUCAAACUUUAAAUGGGUGAGAUCUCCGGCUUGCUUGAAACGUGAAGCCGCGAGAUUUCGGAUCAGAGUGCCAAGUGGGCCACUUUUGGUAAGCAGAACUGGCGCUGUGGGAUGAACCAAACGCAGAGUUAAAGCGCCUAAAUCGACGCUUAUGGGAUACCAUGAAAGGCGUUGGUAACUUAAGACAGCAGGACGGUGGCCAUGGAAGUCGGA
Molecule: ribosomal RNA, 635 nt
Filed under: Geotrupes sp. NLG-2014
Lineage: Eukaryota; Metazoa; Arthropoda; Insecta; Coleoptera; Geotrupidae
Description: eukaryotic LSU rRNA
Rfam family: Eukaryotic large subunit ribosomal RNA
Source: RNAcentral